RNAcentral lists this non-coding RNA (28 nucleotides) under Bombyx mori (domestic silkworm). The record is from RNAcentral. Lineage: Eukaryota; Metazoa; Arthropoda; Insecta; Lepidoptera; Bombycidae.
CACGGUUGAAAUACGCGGCGACGGACGC